AGUCGAGGGGCAGCAUUUUAGUUUGCUUGCAAACUAAAGAUGGCGACCGGCGCACGGGUGAGUAACACGCUAUCCAACCUGCCGAUAACUCGGGGAUAGCCUUUCGAAAGAAAGAUUAAUAUCCGAUAGUAUAUUAAAACCGCAUGGUUUUACUAUUAAAGAAUUUCGGUUAUCGAUGGGGAUGCGUUCCAUUAGUUUGUUGGCGGGGUAACGGCCCACCAAGACUACGAUGGAUAGGGGUUCUGAGAGGAAGGUCCCCCACAUUGGAACUGAGACACGGUCCAAACUCAUACGGGAGGCAGCAGUGAGGAAUAUUGGUCAAUGGACGAGAGUCUGAACCAGCCAAGUAGCGUGAAGGAUGACUGCCCUAUGGGUUGUAAACUUCUUUUAUAUGGGAAUAAAGUAUUCCACGUGUGGGAUUUUGUAUGUACCAUAUGAAUAAGGAUCGGCUAACUCCGUGCCAGCAGCCGCGGUAAUACGGAGGAUCCGAGCGUUAUCCGGAUUUAUUGGGUUUAAAGGGAGCGUAGGUGGAUUGUUAAGUCAGUUGUGAAAGUUUGCGGCUCAACCGUAAAAUUGCAGUUGAAACUGGCAGUCUUGAGUACAGUAGAGGUGGGCGGAAUUCGUGGUGUAGCGGUGAAAUGCUUAGAUAUCACGAAGAACUCCGAUUGCGAAGGCAGCUCACUAGACUGCAACUGACACUGAUGCUCGAAAGUGUGGGUAUCAAACAGGAUUAGAUACCCUGGUAGUCCACACAGUAAACGAUGAAUACUCGCUGUUUGCGAUAUACAGUAAGCGGCCAAGCGAAAGCAUUAAGUAUUCCACCUGGGGAGUACGCCGGCAACGGUGAAACUCAAAGGAAUUGACGGGGGCCCGCACAAGCGGAGGAACAUGUGGUUUAAUUCGAUGAUACGCGAGGAACCUUACCCGGGCUUAAAUUGCAUUUGAAUAAUCUGGAAACAGGUUAGCCGCAAGGCAAAUGUGAAGGUGCUGCAUGGUUGUCGUCAGCUCGUGCCGUGAGGUGUCGGCUUAAGUGCCAUAACGAGCGCAACCCUUAUCUUUAGUUACUAACAGGUCAUGCUGAGGACUCUAGAGAGACUGCCGUCGUAAGAUGUGAGGAAGGUGGGGAUGACGUCAAAUCAGCACGGCCCUUACGUCCGGGGCUACACACGUGUUACAAUGGGGGGUACAGAAGGCAGCUACCUGGCGACAGGAUGCUAAUCCCAAAAACCUCUCUCAGUUCGGAUCGAAGUCUGCAACCCGACUUCGUGAAGCUGGAUUCGCUAGUAAUCGCGCAUCAGCCAUGGCGCGGUGAAUACGUUCCCGGGCCUUGUACACACCGCCCGUCAAGCCAUGAAAGCCGGGGGUACCUGAAGUACGUAACCGCAAGGAGCUCCUAGG
RNAcentral lists this ribosomal RNA (1398 nucleotides) under bacterium NLAE-zl-G409. RNAcentral's name for it is "16S ribosomal RNA". It matches the Rfam family "Bacterial small subunit ribosomal RNA". The record is from RNAcentral.